CACACACACACACACACACAAAGAUCUUGUAUCUCUGAUUAGUAUUCCUAAAUAUAGAAGGAUCAGAGCUUCUUAGUAUUCCUAAAUAUGACUGGAAUUAGGCGCUGAAUGGACAUCAUCAUAAUAACAAAUGGGGCUCAAUUGACAAUAAGUCUAUACAACAGUAAGUCUAUCAUGGGGUAGCAUUUGGCUUCUUGUUAUGAUAAACCCAAUGGCCUUACUCUUUUUAAUAAAUUUUGUUAUCAUAAAAUGACCUGAACGCUUGAUGCAUUUUCAUGUUUGAUGGCCUAUAACUCAAAAUUUAUCAUUAAAUUGAACAUCAGUAUACAGUUUUAAUCUUUUGUUUGCCUGUGAUCAAUUCUAUUAGCUCUUUUUUCCUCCCACACAGAGGUGGGAAUGUAAACAUGAACUAUGAGCAAGAUUCAUUGGUUGUAUAAUUGGCAUUUUGUAUUAUAAUAACCAUGUUUUGAUCAAAAUUGUAUCAACCCAUUUCAUUUUUAGUAAACAAGUUCAAUUAAGGAUAGCCUGCAAUGAACACAAUCAACUUAUUAUGUCAAUAUCUUUAACUUUGUUUAACAUGUUUGGCCAUAUAUUGAGAAGUAUAAGGUUUCAAGUUAGUGGAAGUGUGGAACUAAUAUUAAGUUAAGAGUUGUGGAUAAGCAUAGUAUAGGGGUUUCAAGUUUAGUAGAACUAAAACAGAGAAUAUGCAUUUAGACUUUAGUAAUGAAGGGGGGCUGACUGAGGUGAUGUUAGCUUUUGUGGCACAAAAGUCGCACAAGAAGGAUCUGUUAUACAAAGAGAUGGUGAAGUGAGGAGCAUAUAUGCCAUAGGAUUAAAGCAGAUGAAUAAAGUGGCGCAAUGCAACAGGAGUAUUAUGCAAUUGCAAAAUACCAGCUAUGUUGAGGGAGAAGUUGUACAUAUAGCAUUUGUGUUAUUGUAUUUUUCUGUAUUAUUUUAUUUUAUUUCACUUCUUAUGUAUGAAUAGAUAAAUUAUUUGAAUCAACUUCCUGUUGAAUAAUUUUUCCAGCUAGUGUAGACAUGACCUGUUUGAUAACUGGAAUAGUGGAUACUAACUUGUUAGUUGUUAAAGAAAUUUUUUAUACAUUCUUUCCUCUGAACAAUUACGAACAAUCCAAUUCCUCCAACUUUAGGGUGUAAUUGUUCUGCUAUAGGUACAAGUUUUACUUGCAGAAAAAUAUACGCUAGAACAGCAAAGGGGGAAAAAAAAAAGGUUCUGCUGAAAAAUUUAAUCAGAAUAAGCAUUUGAGUUAUUAUGUUUAAAGUAUUUAAUUAUUGAGUAAUUUUUUUGUUCUUAGUCCAAGUUUCUGAUUAUAUGAAAAAUCAUAGCUUUUCCAAUUCCUUGCUUCAUGGUGAUGCUUGACUUCACUGCAUUAACACAUCCCCUGUAGAGUUAUGAUCUUUAUGCCUGCUGAUGUAGUCAUGUUUGUUUCAUUUGUCAAUUGACAGGUAAACUUAAGCCCAUAUGAGAAGGGAUGGAUUAUAAAGGUCGAUAUUAGUGAUGUUGGUGAGCUCAAGAACUUGAAGGACUCAGAUGAGUACACGAAGUUGUGUGAAGAAGAAGAUGCAACACAUUGAGUGGACCUUGUCAUAGUCGAAAUUGUGGGUUGCUUCCUCUGUUUGCUCAACUUAAUAAUGCACUUUUGUCCUGAUUCAGUUGUGGUUUUCUCAUGUCUCUUUGUUACUAAUAAUAAAAUUGGUAACUAGUGUUAAUGUCUAUUCCCGUGUUUUAAUUUUUUUAAAGCGAUUUCAUUGUAUCAAUAUGCUUGAAAAUUGCCCCCUUUUUUUUAUAAUUUAAUGUAAUGAAAUUUUCUCCUAUGUAUUUGUG
RNAcentral lists this unclassified non-coding RNA (1846 nucleotides) under Hevea brasiliensis (rubber tree). The record is from RNAcentral. Lineage: Eukaryota; Viridiplantae; Streptophyta; Magnoliopsida; Malpighiales; Euphorbiaceae.